UGGGGAAUAUUGCACAAUGGGCGCAAGCCUGAUGCAGCCAUGCCGCGUGUAUGAAGAAGGCCUUCGGGUUGUAAAGUACUUUCAGCGGGGAGGAAGGGAGUAAAGUUAAUACCUUUGCUCAUUGACGUUACCCGCAGAAGAAGCACCGGCUAACUCCGUGCCAGCAGCCGCGGUAAUACGGAGGGUGCAAGCGUUAAUCGGAAUUACUGGGCGUAAAGCGCACGCAGGCGGUUUGUUAAGUCAGAUGUGAAAUCCCCGGGCUCAACCUGGGAACUGCAUCUGAUACUGGCAAGCUUGAGUCUCGUAGAGGGGGGUAGAAUUCCAGGUGUAGCGGUGAAAUGCGUAGAGAUCUGGAGGAAUACCGGUGGCGAAGGCGGCCCCCUGGACGAAGACUGACGCUCAGGUGCGAAAGCGUGGGGAGCAAAC
RNAcentral lists this ribosomal RNA (426 nucleotides) under Chloroflexota bacterium. RNAcentral's name for it is "Chloroflexi bacterium partial 16S ribosomal RNA". It matches the Rfam family "Bacterial small subunit ribosomal RNA", at positions 355 to 773 of the family's 1533-position model. The record is from RNAcentral. Lineage: Bacteria; Bacillati; Chloroflexota.